Molecule: ribosomal RNA, 112 nt
Filed under: uncultured bacterium
Lineage: Bacteria
Description: partial 16S ribosomal RNA
Source: RNAcentral
AAGUAUCAAUACCUAAUUUUCUUCCCAAUAAAAGCAGUUUACAACCCAUAGGGCCGUCAUCCUGCACGCGGGAUGGCUGGUUCAGAGUUGCCUCCAUUGACCAAUAUUCCUU